Nycticebus coucang (slow loris) is the source of this 548-nucleotide long non-coding RNA. RefSeq lists it as uncharacterized. The transcript is spliced from 3 exons. The record is from RefSeq and is a predicted model, not a curated record. NCBI's taxonomy places the organism in Eukaryota, Metazoa, Chordata, Mammalia, Primates, Lorisidae.
CCAAGGCCUGCCCACAGCCACAGAGCAGAGCGGCUUGGACGUUUGUCCUCCCCCAUGAACCCUUUGGAGGACAGCAGAGCCCAGCUGCAGCUGACACCCCCAUGCAGCCUGGUCCCAAGCAAACCUUGAGGACAUGUGGACCGGCAGGAGAAAGGAAGCACUGGGGGACACAGGCAAGGCCAGAGCUGGAGUCUUAUCAACCUGGCCACAGCACUGCUCAUCAGGCUUUGCCAUUGCCUGGAGCAGAGCACACAGUCCUAAGAACCACCUGUGAUCCUGGCCCUUUCUACAGAAGCCCAGCUGGCCAGAGCCUGUGGCUACUCGGCCGGCUCCUCGGAGCGCCUGCCCUCCUCAGCAGGUGCAGUGCCCGCAGGGUCUCUGCCGGGGUGCUGAGGGGCUCCCCUCACUGGUAGAGGAUGCAGCACCCCCAGACUACGGGCAGAUGUACUCCUCACUGGGCCUUCAGAAUCAAAGUGGAUAUGAUGGCCUUCUGCAGAAGCAAAGGACUUUGUUACUCACAGCAGAACUGUGCUCAACUGUGCUUGUGA